CUUCUAAUUGCAAGAUCUGCAAUGUAGAUGGAUGACACCAGGAGCCACACACAAGCGCAUCAGCAUAAAGAAGAGGGCAAAUCAGAGACCCAUGUACAUUGGCGAGGCUGAGUAGGACACUCUAGUGGAGUACUGGGAAACAGAACCAGAAAAGAAGAAGAGAAAGAAUGCUAGAAACCACUUAUCUAAUCAUGAUGGCAUAGGGGUUCACAAGCAUUGUGUAUGUCCUCGACGUUUUUUGCAGAUUGAGCAUGAGAUGAUGAUUGAGUCUGGUUUGGAUGAAGCACCAGCCUUCACUGAUCUUGUGCGGAGGACACACUGACGCAAAGAUGGAAUUUUCACGGAAGUGCUGAUCUCUGUUUUGGAGACUAACUUCAAGCGACUCAACACCAAUGUUUAUGGUUAUAGACGA
Non-coding RNA from Camelina sativa (false flax), 412 nucleotides. The record is from RefSeq and is a predicted model, not a curated record. Lineage: Eukaryota; Viridiplantae; Streptophyta; Magnoliopsida; Brassicales; Brassicaceae.